CCGGCCCUUGGAGGGGCUGAGGUGGCGGAACCUUGGACCCUUUGCCUCAGGCGGAUGGUGCUGAGAGGCCGCGCUCCGCGGGGACCUUGGGGAAGCCCGGGUGCUCUCUUUUGCACACUUCUAGCUACUUGGAACUGGACAUCCAGAGCCAGCUCGGAAACCAGCUUCUCUUCAUCCUCACUGCCUCCCGCUCCGAGUGGGCUUUUUCUCUCAACUUCUACAGGGGUCUCCACAUCUGGGUGCUGGGAAGGGAGGUCGGCGGCUUAGGACUCUACCUUGGAGCGGCCGAGAGGAAGCAACUGAAGUGCUUGUUGUGGUAGCAGGAAGGAUCGAUUGAUGAUUGGAAAGAGGAAAUAAUGCCAUUUGCAGCAACAUGGAUGGACCUAGAGAUUAUCAUUCAGAUUAUCAUUCUGAACUCAGAUCAAGGAACACAGAAGGCAUGUAAGUGGUUCCUAUGGAGACACAAUGCUCCAUCUACCUUGUUGUCUCCAAGAUCAGUUGCUCAUGGUCUAUUGCAACUUGGCAGGAUAAAAUAAACACCAAGGGUGGCACUUAAGAAGAAAAGAAUUAUGAAAUUGAGAGCAAAUGUCCUACACACAAGGGACUUUAACCUCAGAGAGGGGUGACCUGCAGAGGAGCCCUGCCUGAGCCAUGCUGCGGAGGACCAAAUGCCCAUCUGUUCAUGAGCCUGAUCCACUGCCUCACCUCAAGAGUCAGAAGCAAAGCAAGUACUGGACACAGGGGCCAGUUUCAGGGGCUCUGCUGACAUGUCUAAAGGAAACUUCACGUGAUGUUUCCCCAGUGAGAAGUUUCUCGAAUUUUCAGCUUCUUAACUUGUCAAGGAGCUCCUGGAUUUUGGAAUUUGUAUUAUUAAAGCUUCCAGGUAUCUAAUCACUGCACAUGGAAGUUCCCAUAGCCACAGCAACGUGGGAUCCAAGCCUGCUAUACCUCAGCUCAUGGCAAAGCUGGAUCCUUAACCCACUGAACAAGUCCAGGGAUUAAACCCACAUCCUCAUGGAUCCUAAUCAGGUGGUGAUGGUGAUGAUGUCUAUGUUGAGGAUAAUAGUGGUGAUGUUGUUUCCAAUACCUUUGUCUGCAACUACAAUAUGAAAAAAAGCCCGUGCAUAUGAUCUACGUGGGAGGGGAGGAGAAGAGUUAAAUAAGCACCUUUUCUCCAUAGGCUGAGCAUGCCUCAGACCUUGGUGUUUUGGGGACACCGUGUCUUGGCCUGCCCUUUCAUCAUUCUGUAGACACUGCUGAUGCUGCUCCUUGAGGAGGCCAGGGUUUAUGCCUUUCACAGCAACAGGACCUUUCACUCUGGGGAAAGACAGCUGCCAUGUCGUGAGGACACUCAACCAAUCUACAGCAAGGUCCACAUGGUGAGUAACGCGGCUUCCUGCCAACAGCUGUGUGAUCGAGUAACUUGGAAGCAAACACUGAGAACUCUGGCUCUUAUUUAAAAGCCCGUGAGUAAUUACCAAGGCUUUAACUGGCAGGUCUGAUGGGAGAAAGCUGCCCUCUCUGGGCCAGACCUGUGUACAACUAGUGCAUUACAGCCUGUGAAGAGAGCUGCAGUCAGCCAUUCAGGUUUCCUGGCCAGUCAUAUUCUUCACAUAUUUGAUUUCUUGGUUUUGAUGGGCACCCGCAUUCUGAGGUCUCUUUAUCUGAGGUCAUCUCCAGGUACCUCUGCUGAGGCCUCUUUACUGGGGGGAGGAGGAGGAAGAAAUCUUGAAUUCACCGAGGACGGUGUUAGGAAGGCUUCUCUAAGGAAGUAAUAAGUGAACUCAGAUCUAAAUGAUACUAAGAGCUAACUAGAUGAAAUAGGAACUUGUGAAUAGGUAAAAGGGGUCUUAGCCUAAGGAGUAGCAUGUACUCACCCAGAAUUCUGGCCUCAUGACUGUGAGGCUUCAUAAUGUAAGUAGGGAGAAAAGCAAGAUGAACUAAAAUCAUCUCCAGAACGCUGACCUAGGCACUGACCCCAGUGUGCUUGCUUUUUGGAAGCAGGAGGUGCACAAUGCAUCCUGUUUCUUAGCAGGAAGAGUCUAAAGAGUGAGAAGAAAAGGCUGAAUUGUAUAUAUUCAGUUCUUUUCUCAAUCUUACCCUUAAGAGUGACAUACCUUUUCACUAGAGGGGGCAGAUAAGGGAAAACAGCUCCACCAAUGGACCACAUAGGGCCUUAGUGAGGUUGUAUUUUUCCACGUGUUGUUACAAUGAUCAGCAUCCUGAGGACAUUUUAUAGGUCAUAAAAUCAGCAAGUGUUAACUGUGAUAAUUUGGACACCAGUGAUUUGGGCUCUUGGCAGGGCAAAAAAACAUGAAGCUUUUGAUGAAUAAGAUUAUGGACAUGGUCCUUGAUCAGGAGCAGAUGGUUAAAUUUGUUGCUGUAAUCAGUUUGUCUUCAAUUCAAUGCCGAUUUAUUUGUGGUCAUUUCAUUGUUUUCUCCACUGAGACAUUAAAAGACUAGUAAUUAACUUGAAGGAAAAAAGAAAAGUGUGAAUUCCAUAAAAGUACCUUCAUUAAGUUCUUUAUAUUCUCUUCUUCAUCUGUCAUGAUAGUACAUUGAACUACGUAUUCCUUAUAUCUGUUUAACAAAUGUGUAUUCGAGAACUACUGUGUGUUGAGCUGUGUACUAAAUCUAGUGAACAGAAUGCUGGGAAAAACAGAAAAAACAUUAUUUCUGAAGUCAAAAAGCUUAUACUCUACUAAAGAAACAAAUAUCAAUAGAAUAAUUCCAAAAAAGUAAAUGUAAAAUUAUACUUGUAAUAGCUGCUAAGAACAGAUGCAUGGUACUGUGGUAGCCACUAAGAAGGGAUUUGACUUAGAUGGGGAGUAGAAAAGACUUCUCUCAAGAAAUAGUAUUUAAGCUGAAAUCUGAGAGGCAAGUAGUAAUACCUGAGGCCAGAAGAGUGGAGAUAGGAAGGAGAUUUUCCAGCCUGAGAAAAUAGCUUGUGUGACUGCCACCUGGCCGCAGGCAGUGUGGUUAAACAUAAGGGGUGGAUGAGGCCUCUUGUGUCUAUACCCAAUUCAGAAUGUGAGUGACUGUUCAUCUGACUUUUUCAAACAUCAUAUUUUCCUGGACAAAACAACAAAUGGAUGCUGGAGUUGGGAAUUUAUUUGCCUGAAGUAUUCAAUUAGGGUAAUGCUAGCUAUCGAAACAAGGAAAUUAAAAUUCCAGUGGCUUAACAUAAUAGAGUUUUCUUUCUAUUCCUGAACAAGUAUACUGGGAUGUACUGUUUGGUGGUGGCUUUGGGGUGUUUCAGGGACUCAGGCACCUUCCAUCUUGCAGCUCCACCAUCUACUAGGCUCCAACAGGUGGAGGGAGGCAGCAAAGAGUGUACAACUGCUUCUGUUAUAAAUGCAGGCUCAGAAGUAAUACACACAUUUAUUGGUGUGAAUUAGUCAUGGGAUUGGACUUUUAUGCAAAGGGCUUCUGGGGAAUGUACUCAUUGCCUGGGAAGAUGCCUCUGGGAAAUACCUACUGUAUUCUAGAAUAGGGAACAUAAUUUUCUGUGUGGACAGCUAACAUCUUUACCGCACAUUUUUUAUUACUCAAUGAAUUUCUUACAUUUGUAGUUGUACAAUGAUUGGCACAAUCCAAUUUUAUAGGAUUUCCAUCCCAUAACCCCAGCACAUCCCUCCACCCCCCAAACUGUCUCCUUUGGAGAUCAUAAGUUUUUCAAAGUCUGUGAGUCAGUAUCUGUUCUGCAAAGAAGUUCAUUCUGUCCUUUCUUCAGAUUCCACAUGUCAGUGAAAGCAUUUGAUGUUGGUUUCUCAUUGUGUGACCAACUUCACUUAGCAUGCUAAUUCUAGGUCCAUCCAUGUUGCUAAAAAUGCUGGUUCCUUUUAGUGGCUGAGUAAUAUUCCAUUGCAUAUAUGUACCACAUCUUCUUGAUCCACUCCUCUGUCGAUGGACAUUUAGGUUGUUUCCAUGUCUUGAAACAAGUGCUGCAAUGAACAUUGGAGAAAAGAAACAUGUUGAUUUUUAAUUUUGAAAUUACAAUGGCUUGUCUUCUUUGGGAACGUGGUCUUUGAUAAUUUCUCUCAAGCCUUGAGCAACUAAUUUUAUGGUUGGAUCCACAAUCAAAUGCAAGUGAGAAAAGAGGACUUCUUAAAUAAGCCUUUAUAAUUUCUUUUUCUACCUGCAGACCUCUUCAUUUAUGACAGAAAACUAACCCAAAUAUGAGUAUAUUAAAGGUUCAAUUUGAGGUAUUUUAUUUUUGUCAUUCUUAAAAUCUCAUUGGUUCAUCUGAACUUUUUUGUGAUAAAAUUUAUAAUGGAAAAUACUACAAACGUGUGUGUUUGGUCUGCCUAAAAGGAGCUGUAGGGAUUAGAUAAGGUGGGAGAAGUAUUAAAGCCGAAGAAAUUAUUACCCACUGUACCACCUUAGCACUGGAGUGAGUGGCAAAUGUGACUUUAGCCCCAGAAAUAUUAAAAGCAGGAAUUAUAUCUGACUCAUCCAUUCAAGGGUGGAAAACUAACCGGAAGUCUUACUUCAGCCUAAGAGUGAUAAAGCGCCAGUUGCUGAGAUCCUGACCUGAUGUACAUAAAUUAAAUAAUAAUGGCAAAAUAUUACGUCUGUGUAGUGCUUUGUGAUUUCCAAAGCACCAUCUGGGAUUGGUAUUUAUCACCGUUGCAAUACAGCAAUAAAAAUAGUCAGACAGUUAUAAAGUUACUCACUUAGGAGAAGUUAGGUAUGCAAAAUCUUUCGGUUAAGGUGCCCCAGGAGUUGAGUGUUCCUAGUAUUUAUAAACUUCCACUUAAGUUUGAAUUUAUGUCACUUCUUGUUCUCAUGUUGAUUGAGUACAUUUUAAGUACAACCCAAAUUUACUAAUACUCAUGAAUAACCUUUCAGACUGGGUGAGCUAGGCUAUUAUCUAAUUGGACUUUUUACCACCAGGUAUUGACGUAAUCUGGGAUCCUUAGUAAUCCUGGGUUCUAGGUUUUUUUCUGGGCACUUAUGAGUUUUAUGUCCUUGAUCAAAUUUCUUAGCUCGGAGUCUGUUUCUUUAUCUGUAAAAUAGAGAUAACAAUUCUUGUUCUUAUCAGUGUCAUGAAAUGCACCUGGGUAAUUUAUGAAGAUUGAGACCAGUUUUUAUAAAUCUUAUAUGUUCUACAAAUAGAAGUGAUUAUUUGGCUUUGUCUUCCUUAUUGGUUUUUAUAAUCCAACUCAAUCCAGAAAUAAAUGGAUCUAGACCACGGGGUUGAGCCUAACUGAAAUUGGUUCUUGGGAUAACAAAUUUGUUUUAUGAUUUCUUAAUCUUAAGUUGACCACCUAUCCUAGUUUGUCCAGGAUUUUCUGAAUUUUAACACUGAAAGUCCAGUGUCCUGGUAAACCCUUCAAUUCUGAGAAAACCAGGAUGGCUAGUGACCCUACCUUGACUUUCCAAUUCUAAGAAUCUUUCUCAGAAAUAGUUUUUAAUCAUAUCUUAUUAAUAUGAGAUCUUCCUUUGGAAAGAAUAUCCCUUCUAUAUGAGUCCAUUUAUUUUUCAGAAUAUGGAUUAUAUUAGACUUUCAUCCAAAAUCCAUGGCAAAAUAAUAAUGAAGUUUAAGUGUCUCCAUAAUGACAUAGGACUUUUCUGGCAUAUAGAAGUUCCCAGGAUAGGGGCGGAAUCAGAGCUGUAGUCGCCGGCCUGCACCACAGCCACAGCAAUGCCAGAUCUGAGCCAUGUCUGUGACCUACACCACAGCUCAUGGCGAUGCCAGAUCCUUAGCCCACUGAACAGGGACAGGGAUCAAACCCAAGUCCUCAUGGAUACUAGUUGAGUUUGUAACUGCUGAGCCCCCAUGGGAACUCCUCCUCCAGCACUUAUUGUAUUUAAUUGAACUACUUGAUCAUCCAUCUCCUUCAUUAGAUCUAAUAAGGAAUCCAGUCAUGUUCAUCUUUGAUUCUGACUGGCACAAUGGAAACACCUAGGAAAUAUACAAUUAACUGAAAUAUAGAGCUUAAACUUGUAUUGCUCAACCCUUAUAAAAGUCAGAGUUUUGAUGAUCCAUAAAAUGUGCAUAAUAAAAAUUUCAUUAAGCCUCAUAGAGUUUAGUGAGCCUUAAAUAAAAUAACAUGAAAAAUGUUAAUUACUUUUGUAAACUGUAAAGUAUAAUAAAAUUUAAGUUUGAGAAAGGAUUGCUAUUAAUGUUUAAUAGCUUUCACAUUUUAAUAUUCUUUCAGUCUGCCAUAACUCCUGGAAUCUUGAUUUGAUCUUUGAAUAUUAAAUUUUUACUUCUAUCCAAAAGUUUGUCAUUUAUCCUAUACAUAAAUGACCACAGGAUAAUGUGAAAUGGACAUGAAUAUAGGCAUUUACAAAUUAACAUCAUCAUAUAUAAAUAUAAUAAGAAAUGUGGAUGCAUUUAAGUUCAGUCUAGUUUAUUUCCUGAAAGACUUUGCUCGAGUCAUCUAUGUUAAUGUUGUGCAAUAGUUGGUAAGCCAAUGAAACAGCAAUAAAUUAUAUGUUUGUUGCCAAAUAAAUUAAGUCUUUAUUGCAACAUGAUUCAUGGUUGUCUCAAAUUUAUUGCUGAUUAGAAAGCCUUGCUCAGGAGUUCCAUUUGUGGCCCAGCGGUUUAUGAACCUGACUAGUAUUCAUGAGGAUGUAGGUUCAAUCCCCGGCCUUGCUCAGUGGGCUAAGGAUCCACAGUUGCCGUGAGCUGUGUUGUAGGUUACAGAUGUGGGUUGGAUCCUGCUUUUCUGUGGUGUAGCAACUGCAGCUUCAAUUUGAUCCCUAGCCUGAGAAUUUCCAUAUACUGCAGGUGUGGCCCUAAAAAGCACACACACACACACACA
RNAcentral lists this long non-coding RNA (6773 nucleotides) under Sus scrofa (pig). Its description in RNAcentral is "lncRNA (ENSSSCG00035015593.1)". Lineage: Eukaryota; Metazoa; Chordata; Mammalia; Artiodactyla; Suidae. The record is from RNAcentral.